UGGGCAGAACGCAGCUACGGCAGCUGU
Molecule: non-coding RNA, 27 nt
Filed under: Rattus norvegicus (Norway rat)
Lineage: Eukaryota; Metazoa; Chordata; Mammalia; Rodentia; Muridae
Source: RNAcentral